GGCCGCCUGGCGAAAUGGCAUCGCGUCUGACUACGAAAGUGUAAUCAGGAGAUUGCAGGUUCGACCCCUGCGGUGGUCA
Molecule: transfer RNA, 79 nt
Filed under: Agaricus bisporus var. burnettii
Lineage: Eukaryota; Fungi; Basidiomycota; Agaricomycetes; Agaricales; Agaricaceae
Also listed under: 1 other name
Rfam family: tRNA
About the family: Transfer RNA (tRNA) molecules are approximately 80 nucleotides in length. Their secondary structure includes four short double-helical elements and three loops (D, anti-codon, and T loops).
Source: Rfam by way of RNAcentral